AACGAACGCUGGCGGCAUGCCUAACACAUGCGAGUCGAACGAGACCUUCGGGUCUAGUGGCGCACGGGUGCGUAACGCGUGGGAACCUGCCCUUAGGUUCGGAAUAACUCCCCGAAAGGGGUGCUAAUACCGGAUAAUGUCUUCGGACCAAAGAUUUAUCGCCUUUGGAUGGGCCCGCGUUGGAUUAGCUAGUUGGUAGGGUAAAAGCCUACCAAGGCGACGAUCCAUAGCUGGUCUGAGAGGAUGAUCAGCCACACUGGGACUGAGACACGGCCCAGACUCCUACGGGAGGCAGCAGUGGGGAAUAUUGGACAAGGGGCGAAAGCCUGACCCAGCAAUGCCGGGGGGGUGAUGAAGGCCUUAGGGUUGAAAAGCUCUUUUCCCCGGGAUGAUAAUGACAGGACCGGGAGAAUAAGCCCCGGCAAACUCCGU
RNAcentral lists this ribosomal RNA (432 nucleotides) under uncultured bacterium. RNAcentral's name for it is "partial 16S ribosomal RNA". It matches the Rfam family "Bacterial small subunit ribosomal RNA", at positions 29 to 506 of the family's 1533-position model. The record is from RNAcentral.